UACUGUGCCGCCUGGUGGAUGGCUCGGCUCGAGUGCCGACGACGGACGUGCCAAGCUGCGAUAAGCCUGAGGGAGCCGCACGGAGGCGUAGAACUCAGGAUGUCCGAAUGGGAAUCCCUCUAACAAUUGCUGUGCGCAAUGGGGAACGACCGGAAUUGAAACAUCUUAGUACGGUCAGGAAGAGAAAUCGAAUGAGACGCCGUUAGUAACCGCGAGUGAAGGCGGCUCAGUCCAAACUGAAGCCUUCUGGGCGAUGUGGUGUAUGGGCUGACUUUCAUCGAAUGAACGAUCGUGGGAAGUCUCCUGAAACGGAGCGCGAUACAGGGUGACAGCCCCGUAUAGCGAUCAAGUAGUUCGUGCGUCAGUUCCAGAGUAGCGGGGACCGGAAAUUCCUCGUGAAUGUAGCAGGCAUCGACUGCUAAGACUAAGUACUCCUCGAGACCGAUAGUGAACAAGUAGCGUGAGCGAACGCUGAAAAGCAUCCCGAGAAGGGAGCUGAAAUAGAGCCUGAAAUCAGGUGGCGAUGGAGCGACUGGGCAUGAAAGGCCCUCUGGAGAACGAGGCGCGUGCAAGCGCGUAGUAGGAGUCAGAGGGAGCCGAUGUCCGGUCGUACGUUUUGAAAAACGAACCAGGGAGUGUGUUUGUUUGGCGAGUCUAACCCGAGUAUCGGGGAAGGCAUAGGGAAACCGACAUGGUCGCAGCAUUGCGAGGACCGCCGUCUUCAAGGGCGGGGAGUCAGACGAACACGACCCGAAACCGAGUGAUCUACGCGUGGGCAAGGUGAAGCAUGGCGAAAGCCAUGUGGAGGCCUGUUAGGGGUGGUGUCUUACAAUACCCUCCCGUGACCUACGUGUAGGGGUGAAAGGCCCAUCGAACUCGGCAACAGCUGGUUCCGACCGAAACAUGUCGAAGCAUGACCUUCGCCGAGGUAGUUCGUGAGGUAGAGCAACCGAUUGGGGAGUCCGCCUCCGAGAGGAGUCGGCCCCCCUGUCGAACUCCGAACUUACGGACGCCGUGGACGCGAGGAAUCCGGUGUGCGGGGUAAGCCUGUGCACCGUAAGGGAGACAACCCAGAGUAAGGUUAAGGUCCCAAAGUACGAGCUAAGUGCGAUUGAAGGUGGUCUCGAGCCCUAAACAGCCGGGAGGUGAGCUUAGAAGCAGCUAUCCUCCAAGAAAAGCGUAACAGCUUACCGGCCGAGGUUCGAGGCGCCCAAAAUGAUCGGGGCUCAAGUUCGUCACCGAGACCUUACGGCACCCUUAAGCGGGUGAUCCAGUAGGUCGGCGUUCCGUUCGGGUGGAAGCAUGGGCGAGAGUUCGUGUGGACCGGAUGGAAACGAAAAUCCUGGUCAUAGUAGCAGCGUUAGUCGGGUGUGAACCCCGACGACCGCAAGAGCAAGGGUUCCUCGGCACUGCUGUUCAGCCGAGGGUUAGUCGGUCCUAAGUCCCACCGUAAUUCGAAUGGGACAAAUGGGAAACUGGUUAAUAUUCCAGUACUGUUGUGCAGUGAAAGUCGACGCCUCGGGGUAUAUCGAGCCGGACGAUCGUCCGGUCGAAUCGUCGAAAUCCGUGGAAGCCGUAAUGGCAGGAAGCGGACGAAUGGCGAGAGAGGGAAACUCGAUUCAACCUGGGGCCCGUGAAAAGACGAGCACGACAUCCGUACCGAGAUCCGACACAGGUGCUCUGGCUUAGAAAGCCAAGGUCUGUCGGGAACAACCGACGUCAGGGAAUUCGGCAAAUUGGUCCCGUAAGUUCGCGAUAAGGGAUGCCUGCCUCGGGAUGAGGCAGGUCGCAGUGACAUGGAAGCUCCGACUGUCUAGUAACAACAUAGGUGACCGCAAAUCCGCAAGGACUCGUACGGUCACUGAAUCCUGCCCAGUGCGGGUAUCUGAACACCUCGUACAAGAGGACGAAGGACCCGUUAACGGCGGGGGUAACUAUGACCCUCUUAAGGUAGCGUAGUACCUUGCCGCUUCAGUAGCGGCUUGCAUGAAUGGAUCAACGAGAGCUUCACUGUCCCGACGUUGGGCCCGGUGAACUGUACGUUCCAGUGCGGAGUCUGGAGACCCCCAAGGGGAAGCGAAGACCCUAUAGAGCUUUACUGCAGGCUGUCGCUGGGACACGGUCGCUGAUGUGCAGAAUAGGUAGGAGGCAUUACACAGGUACCCGCGCUAGCGGGCCACCGAGUCAUCAGUGAAAUACUACCCGUCAGUGACUGUGACCCUAACUCCGGGAGGAGGACACCGGUAGCCGGGCAGUUUGACUGGGGCGGUACGCGCUCGAAAAGAUAUCGAGCGCGCCCUACGUCCAUCUCAUCCCGUGUCGGAGACGCGGAGAAGAGUGCAAGAGCAUAAGAUGGGCUGACAGUAUUCUUCACAACGAGGGAUGCUGACGCGAAAGCGUGGUCUAGCGAACCUAUGAGCCUGCUUGAUGCGGGCCAUAGAUGACAGAAAAGCUACCUUAGGGAUAACAGAGUCGUCACUCGCAAGAGCACAUAUCGACCGAGUGGCUUGCUACCUCGAUGUCGGUUCCCUCCAUCCUGCCCGUGCAGAAGCGGGCAAGGGUGAGGUUGUUCGCCUAUUAAAGGAGGUCGUGAGCUGGGUUUAGACCGUCGUGAGACAGGUCGGCUGCUAUCUAUUGGGGGUGUAUUGGUGCUUGACGAGAACGUUCGUAUAGUACGAGAGGAACUACGAACGGUCACCACUGGUGUACCGGUCGUUCGAGAGAGCGCGUGCCGGGCAGCUACGUGACACGGGGUAAGAGCUGAACGCAUCUAAGCUCGAAACCCACUUGGAAAAGAAGCACCGGUGAGAUCACUCGUAGAAGACGAGGUGGAUAGACUCGGGAUGUACGCGCCGAGGCAACGAGGCGUUGAGUCCGCGAGCACUAACGAUCGAAGCCACACAUU
RNAcentral lists this ribosomal RNA (2905 nucleotides) under Halarchaeum acidiphilum MH1-52-1. RNAcentral's name for it is "bacterial LSU rRNA". It matches the Rfam family "Archaeal large subunit ribosomal RNA". The record is from RNAcentral. Lineage: Archaea; Methanobacteriati; Methanobacteriota; Halobacteria; Halobacteriales; Halobacteriaceae.